RNAcentral lists this ribosomal RNA (489 nucleotides) under uncultured bacterium. RNAcentral's name for it is "partial 16S ribosomal RNA". It matches the Rfam family "Bacterial small subunit ribosomal RNA", at positions 28 to 523 of the family's 1533-position model. The record is from RNAcentral.
GACGAACGCUGGCGGCGUGCUUAACACAUGCAAGUCGAACGGACUGAAAGAAAAGCUUGCUUUUCUGGACGUUAGUGGCGGACGGGUGAGUAACGCGUGGGUAACCUGCCUUUAAGAGGGGGAUAACACUCCGAAAGGAGUGCUAAUACCGCAUAACAUCAGAUUAUUGCAUGAUAGACUGAUCAAAGGAGAAAUCCGCUUAAAGAUGGACCCGCGUCUGAUUAGCUAGUUGGUGAGGUAACGGCUCACCAAGGCGACGAUCAGUAGCCGGCCUGAGAGGGUGAUCGGCCACACUGGGACUGAGACACGGCCCAGACUCCUACGGGAGGCAGCAGUGGGGAAUCUUCCGCAAUGGGCGCAAGCCUGACGGGGCAACGCCGCGUGAGUGAAGAAGGUUUUCGGAUUGUAAAACUCUGUCUUCAGGGAAGAAACAAAUGACGGUACCUGAGGAGGAAGCCCCGGCUAACUACGUGCCAGCCGCCGCCGUAA